AUACGUAGGUGACAAGCGUUAUCCGGAUUUACUGGGCGUAAAGGGCGUGUAGGCGGUCUUGCAAGUCAGAAGUGAAAUUCCUGAGCUCAACUCGGGCGCUGCUUCUGAAACUGCAGGACUUGAGUGCUGGAGGGGAUAGCGGAAUUCCUAGUGGAGCGGUAAAAUGCGCAGAUAUUAGGAAGAACACCGGUGGCGAAGGCGGCUAUCUGGACAGUAACUGACGCUGAGGCGCGAAAGCGUGGGGAGCAAACAGGAUUAGAUACCCUGGUAGUCCACGUCGUAAACGAUGAAUACUAGGUGUAGGGGGUAUCGACUCCCUCUGUGCCGCAGUUAACACAAUAAGUAUUCCGCCUGGGGAGUACGGCCGCAAGGUUGAAACUCAAAUGAAUUGGCGGG
This 396-nucleotide ribosomal RNA is filed under the name uncultured bacterium. Its description in RNAcentral is "partial 16S ribosomal RNA". It matches the Rfam family "Bacterial small subunit ribosomal RNA", at positions 523 to 917 of the family's 1533-position model. The record is from RNAcentral.